This is a small nucleolar RNA of Cucurbita pepo subsp. pepo (vegetable marrow), 92 nucleotides long. RefSeq annotates it as small nucleolar RNA snoR27. NCBI's taxonomy places the organism in Eukaryota, Viridiplantae, Streptophyta, Magnoliopsida, Cucurbitales, Cucurbitaceae. The record is from RefSeq and is a predicted model, not a curated record.
UCUAGACCGAUGAUGCGAUUACAAAUCUGCGUUAUCUAUCUGCAAUUUCCUGCUAGGAAUUGAAGAUAAACGUAUAAUCUCUGAGAUCUGUU